AUGUGAAGUCCUUCAGGGGUGGUAGCCCUUUUGCUAUCACUAGGAUUCCCUUAAUAAUGACGAGCGAGCUGAGAAUAGCCCAGCUUGAAAAUCAGUCACCCUUGGCAUUCAAAUUGUAGUCUAGAGAACCAUCCUUAGCUAUGGACAGGGCCUAAGUCCCCUAGAAGGGGCGCCUGAGAGGGUAAGAGCCCCUUGUGCCCAGACCCUGUCGCUGCAAGAGGUGUUGUCUCUGAGUUGGGUUAUUUGGGAAUACAGCCCUAAUUGGGCUAUAAAUUCCAUCCAAGGCUAAAUAUGGGCAAGAGACCGAUAGCGAACAAGUACCAUGAAGGAAAGAUGAAAAGGACUUUGAAAAGAGAGUCCAAAACUGCUUGAAAUUGUCGGGAGGGAAGUAGAUGGGGGCUGCCAAUGCGCCUCGGUCGAAUGUGGAAUGGCAUAAACUAGUCCGUAGAUCAGCUUGGGGUAUGAACCGAUGUGGAUUGUGUUGCUAUCCCAAGACCGGGCUUUUGAAAUGCUCGGGGAGAUGGUGUCGGCUCGAUGAUGGCCUGCAACACACGCUUCACGGCGUGCCUUAGCAUCUAUGUCCUCCUGGCAUCGACCUGCGGGCUCCCCAUUUGACCCAUCCUGAAACACAGACCUAGGAGUCUGACAUGCGUGUGAGUAAACGGGCAAGAAAACCCGUAUGGUAGAAUGAAGCUGAUUGGCGGUAUUGCCAGUGGGUGCAUCACCGACCGACCUUGAUCUUCUGAAAAAGGUUCGACUGAGAGCAUGCCUGUCGGGACCUGAAUGAUGGUGAACUAUGCUUGAGUGAGGUGAAGCCAGAGGAAACUCUGAUGGAGGCCCACAGCCAUACUGAUGUUCAAAUCGUUCGUUUGAGUUGGAUAUAUGGGCAAAAGACUAAUCGAACCGUCUAGUAGCUGGUUCCCCCCGAAGUUUCUCUCAGGAUAGCUGGAGCUCAUGCGAGUUCAAUAGGGUAAAGCAAAUGAUUAGAGGCAUCGGGGGCAUAACGCCCUCGGCCUAUUGUCAACAUUUACAUAGGUAGGAUGGUGUGGCUGCUUUGUUGACUCGUGUCACGGAAUCGAGAGCUCCGAGUGGACUACUUUUGGCAAGUAGAACUAGCGAUGCGGGAUGAAUCGGAAGCCGGGUUACUAUGCCCAACUGCGCGCUAACGUAGAUCACACAAAGGGUACUGAUCGAUUAAGACAGCAGGACGAUGGUCAUGGAAGUCAAAGUCUGCUAAGGAGUCUGUAAAAACUCACUUGCCGAAUCAACUAGCCCCGAAAAUGGAUGGUGCUGAAGCGCGUGACCCACAUAUGGCCGUUGGGGCAAGUGCUUGGCCCUGAUGAGUAGGAGGGUGCGGCGGUCAUUGUAAAACCCGGGGCCUAUGCCUGGGCGGAGUGGCCGUCGGUGUACAUCUCGAUCGUAGUAACAAAUGUUCAAAUGAGAACUUUGAAGGCCAAAAAGGGGAAAGGUUCCAUGUGAAGGGCACUUGCACAUGGGUUAGUCGAUCCUAAGAGAUAGGGGAAGCCCAUCUGAUGGCGCUUAGGCGCAAGCUUUAAAAGGGAAUCGGGUUAAAAUUCCUGAACCGGGAUACGGCGGCUGAUUACAACAUUAGGGAGUCUGGAGAUAUCAGUGGGGACCGUAGGAAGAGUUAUCUUUUCUAUUUAACAGCUUGCCCACCCUGAAAACGGCUCAGCUAGAGGUAGGGUCCAGCGGCCGGAAGAGUGUCAUACAUCUCGUGGUGUCCGGUGCGCCCUUGGUGACCCUUGAAAAUCCAGAGGGCUAAGUGUCAUCUGCGCCCGAUCGUACUCAUAACCGGAUCAGGUCUCUAAGGUGAACAGCCUCUGGUCAAUGGCAUAAUGUAGGCAAGGGAAGUCAGCAAAAUGGAUCCAUAACCUCGGGAAAAAGAUUGGCUUUGAGGGCUGGGCACGGGGGUCACAGUCCUGAAUCCGUCAACUGUCGGCAGACUACUUGAGCUGUUCCUGUAGCGAGGCCGGUCACCGCGUGACGGCCAGGGGAUGAACUAGGAACGGCCCCUUUUGGGGCGUUCCCCGAGCAUCGAACAACCAACUCAGAACUGGUACGGAUAGGGGAAUCUGAUUGUUUAAUUUAAACAAAGCACUGCGGUUGUCCUUGGGUAUGCUCAUGCAAUGUGAUUUCUGCCCAAAGUGAAGAAAUUCAACCAAGCGCAAGUAAACGGUGGAAGUAACUAUGACUCUCUUAAGGUAGACAAAUGCCUCGCCAUCUAAUUAGUGACGUGCAUGAAUGGAUUAAUGAGAUUCUACUAUCCCUGUCUACUAUCCAGCGAAACCAUAGCCAAAGGAAUAUACUUGGCAAAAUCAGCGGGGAAAGAAGACCCUGUUGACCUUGACUUUAGACUGACUUUGUGAAAUGACUUGACAGGUGUAGGAUAAGUGGGAGCCCUAUGGGUGCAAGUGAAAUACCACUACUUUUAAUGUUAUUUUAUUUAUUUCGUGAAUCGGAUGAGGGGCAAUGCUCUUCUUCUUGGGCCCGAGGCUCACCUCGAUGGGCCGAUCUGGGUGGAAGACAUUGUCAGGUGGGGAGUUUGGCUAGGGUGAAACAUCUGUUAAAAGAUAAUGUAGUUGUCCUAGGAUGAGCUCAACGAGAACAGGAAUCUCGUGUGGAACAAAAGGGUAAAAGCUCAUUUGAUUUUGAUUUUUAGUACAAAUACGAACCGUCAAAGCUUGGCCUAUCGAUCCUUUAGACCUUCAAAAUUUGAAGCUAGAGGUGUCAGAAAAGUUACCAUAGGGAGAACUGGCUUAUGGCAACCAAGUGUUCAUAGUGAUCUUGUUUUUUGAUCCUUCGAUGUUUGCUUUUCCUAGCAUUGCGAAGUAGAAUUCACCAAUUAUUGGAUUGUUCACCCACUAAUAGGGAACAUGAGUUGGGUUUAAACCGUUGUGAGAUAGGUUAGUUUUACCCUACUGAUGACCACAUCAUGAUAAUAAUUCAACCUAGUAUGAAAGGAACCGUUGAUUCAUACAAUUGGUCAUUGCACUUGGUUGAAAAGCCAGUGCCGGGAAGUUACCAUGCAUUGGAUUAUGACUGAAUGCCUUUAAGUCAGAAUCCAGGCUAGAAGCGACACAUGUGCUAGUCACCCAUUUCCUGAGCCAUAGUAGAGGCCUUGGCCCCCAAGGGCACAAGCUGGGAGAGUAGCUGUCAUGACAGACUGGGUGCAAAGGCU
RNAcentral lists this ribosomal RNA (3199 nucleotides) under Aquilaria agallochum. RNAcentral describes it as "eukaryotic LSU rRNA". It matches the Rfam family "Eukaryotic large subunit ribosomal RNA". Lineage: Eukaryota; Viridiplantae; Streptophyta; Magnoliopsida; Malvales; Thymelaeaceae. The record is from RNAcentral.